AACGCACAUUGCGCCCGCCAGUAUUCUGGCGGGCAUGCCUGUCCGAGCGUCAUUUCAACCCUCGAACCCCUCCGGGGGGUCGGCGUUGGGGAUCGGCCCUUUCACCGGGUGCCGGCCCCUAAAUACAGUGGCGGUCUCGCCGCAGCCUCUCAUGCGCAGUAGUUUGCACACUCGCACCGGGAGCGCGGCGCGUCCACGUCCGUAAAACACCCCAAACUUCUGAAAUGUUGACCUCGGAUCAGGUAGGAAUACCCGCUGAACUUAA
RNAcentral lists this unclassified non-coding RNA (265 nucleotides) under uncultured Trichoderma. Its description in RNAcentral is "sequence contains ITS2". The stretch from base 1 to 52 matches the Rfam family "5.8S ribosomal RNA", at positions 103 to 154 of the family's 154-position model. The record is from RNAcentral. Lineage: Eukaryota; Fungi; Ascomycota; Sordariomycetes; Hypocreales; Hypocreaceae.